This 497-nucleotide ribosomal RNA is filed under the name uncultured bacterium. Its description in RNAcentral is "partial 16S ribosomal RNA". It matches the Rfam family "Bacterial small subunit ribosomal RNA", at positions 28 to 507 of the family's 1533-position model. The record is from RNAcentral.
GAUGAAGGCUGGCGGCGUGCCUAAUACAUGCAAGUCGAGCGAACAGACGAGGAGCUUGCUCCUCUGACGUUAGCGGCGGACGGGUGAGUAACACGUGGAUAACCUACCUAUAAGACUGGUAUAACUUCGGGAAACCGUCGCUAAUACCGGAUAAUCUAUUGAACCGCAUGGUUCAAUAGUAAAAGACGGUUUUGCUGUCACUUAUAGAUGUAUUUCCGCCGCCUUAGCUAGUUGGUAAGGUAACCGCUUACCCAGGCGACGAGGAGUAGCCGACCUGAGCGGGUGAUCGGCCACACUGGAACUGAGACAAGGUCCAAACUCCUACGGGAGGCAGCAGUAGGGAAUCGUCCGCACUGGGCGAAAGCCUGACGGAGCACCGCCGGGUGAGUGAUGAAGGUAUUCGGAUCGUAAAACUCUGUUAUUAGGAAAGAACAAAUGUGUAAGUAACUAUGCACGUCUUGACGGUACCUAAUCAGAAAGCCACGCCUAACUACGUG